GACGAACGCUGGCGGCGUGCUUAACACAUGCAAGUCGAACGGAAAGGCCCUGCUUUUGGGGGGUGCUCGAGUGGCGAACGGGUGAGUAACACGUGAGUAACCUGCCCUUGACUUUGGGAUAACUUCAGGAAACUGGGGCUAAUACCGGAUAGGAGCUCCUGCUGCAUGGUGGGGGUUGGAAAGUUUCGGCGGUUGGGGAUGGACUCGCGGCUUAUCAGCUUGUUGGUGGGGUAGUGGCUUACCAAGGCUUUGACGGGUAGCCGGCCUGAGAGGGUGACCGGCCACAUUGGGACUGAGAUGCGGCACAGACUCCUACGGGAGGCAGCAGUGGGGAAUAUUGCACAAUGGGCGGAAGCCUGAUGCAGCACCGCCGCGUGCGGGAUGACGGCCUUCGGGUUGUAAACCGCUUUCGCCUGUGACGAAGCGUGAGUGACGGUAAUGGGUAAAGAAGCACCGGCUAACUACGUG
Molecule: ribosomal RNA, 468 nt
Filed under: uncultured bacterium
Lineage: Bacteria
Description: partial 16S ribosomal RNA
Rfam family: Bacterial small subunit ribosomal RNA
Source: RNAcentral